This 300-nucleotide ribosomal RNA is filed under the name uncultured Thermodesulfobacterium sp. Its description in RNAcentral is "bacterial SSU rRNA". It matches the Rfam family "Bacterial small subunit ribosomal RNA", at positions 507 to 795 of the family's 1533-position model. The record is from RNAcentral. Lineage: Bacteria; Pseudomonadati; Thermodesulfobacteriota; Thermodesulfobacteria; Thermodesulfobacteriales; Thermodesulfobacteriaceae.
GGAUGCAUGAGGCUAUGGAGCGCGUUAUAACGAAGGCUGCAGGUGUUAAUAGGAAGUACUGGGCGUAAAGCGUGCGGAGGGGGUUUUGGAAUGCGGAUGGGAAAUGCACGGGAGCAACCUGGGAACGGCAUGUGUGACUGGAUAGGUAGAGUACGGGAGAGGGGGGUAGAAUUCCGGGUGUAGCAGUGAAAUGCGUAGAGAUGCGGAGGAAUACCGAUGGCGAAGGCAAUCUCCUGGGCCUGUACUGACGCUGAUGCACGAAAGCAUGGGGAGCAAACAGGAUUAGAUACCCGGGUAGUC